AAAUAUACACAUAUAAAAAUAUUUUCAGUAAUAUAAAAAUGGGUUUUGCUAACGUAAGCUUUUAAAGGUCUCAUGGAGUUGCCGAUCAUCCAUCUGAACCGUUCAUUCAUUGUAAGGAGCAAACUAUGGUGUAAAAACAACACCAAUCAGAUGAUUCUAAACGUCCGAUCAAUCUCAUGGAAAGUCGACAGCCAAUAUUGAGGGGAGAAACGAAAUAUCUCCUAUCAUCAUCUCCCCCUUUGUAUUGCUUAUGAUUCCAAACCGGCAAUUUUCUUUGAUCUAUGGCCCGUAAAUGACAGAUGGUUGUAACAAAUUGGCCUCGUCAACGGUUAGGAUCGGCAUUAGUUUUGUACCAUGGCUUGCUCUUAGUAGUUAUUUUCAAUGAACCGUCAUGAACAAUGAUUGCGCAUCCUACGUGUCAUUUAAAAGCUGUUGGAUUUGGGUUUGGGUUUUUUUUUUUUAUUUUUUUCGCCUGAUCCAGACCGUUUAGUUGAUAGGAUCUCCAAAAGCCAGAUGCCACAUAAUCCCCCAGAGUGAAUAUUUCAACCCUUUGAUUAUGUAAAGGUUCUAAUGAGCAGCUAUUCAUGUAAAUGGCUAAAGAGUCGUAUCACCGAAUGGUUGAAAUAAUUCGAGUUCUCUGUAUCAUUGGAAGAUGACUCAGAUUCAACAGCUGAAGUGGACGUGCGUUGUAUUACAUCUAGUAGUAUCCGGUCAUACCUUUGGUUUUUUU
Long non-coding RNA from Magnolia sinica, 730 nucleotides. RefSeq lists it as uncharacterized. The record is from RefSeq and is a predicted model, not a curated record. Lineage: Eukaryota; Viridiplantae; Streptophyta; Magnoliopsida; Magnoliales; Magnoliaceae. The transcript is spliced from 2 exons.